GACGUAGGGCGCGAGCGUUGUCCGGAUUUAUUGGGCGUAAAGAGCUCGUAGGCGGCUUGUCGCGUCGACUGUGAAAACCCGCGGCUCAACCGCGGGCCUGCAGCCGAUACGGGCAGGCUAGAGUUCGGCAGGGGAGACUGGAAUUCCAGGUGUAGUGGUGGAAUGCGUAGAGAUCCGGAGGAACACCAGCGGCGAAGGCGGCAUCCUGGACUGGUCCUGACACUCAGGAGCGAAAGCGUGGGGAGCGGUCCGG
This 253-nucleotide ribosomal RNA is filed under the name uncultured bacterium. RNAcentral describes it as "partial 16S ribosomal RNA". It matches the Rfam family "Bacterial small subunit ribosomal RNA", at positions 524 to 776 of the family's 1533-position model. The record is from RNAcentral.